RNAcentral lists this ribosomal RNA (493 nucleotides) under uncultured bacterium. Its description in RNAcentral is "partial 16S ribosomal RNA". It matches the Rfam family "Bacterial small subunit ribosomal RNA", at positions 30 to 523 of the family's 1533-position model. The record is from RNAcentral.
AUUGAACGCUGGCGGCAUGCCUUACACAUGCAAGUCGAACGGUAACAGGUUAAGCUGACGAGUGGCGAACGGGUGAGUAAUGUAUCGGAAAGUGCCCAAUAGUGGGGGAUAGCCAGGCGAAAGCCGGAUUAAUACCGAAUGAGACCUGAGGGUGAAAGCGGGGGAUCGCAAGACCUCGCGCUGUUGGAGCGUCCGAUAUCAGAUUAGGUAGUUGGUGGGGCAAAGGCCUACCAAGACUGCGAUCUGUAGCUGGUCGCAGAGGAUGACCAGCCCCACUGGGACUGGGCCACGGCCCAGACUCCGACGCGAGGCAGCAGUGGGGAAUUUUGGACAAUGGGCGCAAGCCUGAUCCAGCAAUGCCGCGUGCGGGAAGAAGGCCUUCGGGUUGUAAACCGCUUUUGUCAGGGAAGAAAUCUUCUGGGUUAAUACCUCGGGAGGAUGACGGUACCUGAAGAAUAAGCACCGGCUAACUACGUGCCAGCCGCCGCCGUAA